Molecule: non-coding RNA, 72 nt
Organism: Picea glauca (white spruce)
Lineage: Eukaryota; Viridiplantae; Streptophyta; Pinopsida; Pinales; Pinaceae
Source: Rfam
GAGUUUGUAAUCCAACGGUUAGGAUAAAUUCCUUCCAAGCAAUAGACCCGGGUUCGACUCCCGGCAGACGCA